AACGAACGCUGGCGGCAUGCCUAACACAUGCAAGUCGAACGAGAUCUUCGGGUCUAGUGGCGCACGGGUGCGUAACGCGUGGGAAUCUGCCCUUUGGUUCGGAAUAACAGUUGGAAACGACUGCUAAUACCGGAUGAUGACGAAAGUCCAAAGAUUUAUCGCCAGGGGAUGAGCCCGCGUAGGAUUGGCUAGUUGGUGUGGUAAAGGCGAACCAAGGCGACGAUCCUUAGCUGGUCUGAGAGGAUGAUCAGCCACACUGGGACUGAGACACGGCCCAGACUCCUACGGGAGGCAGCAGUGGGGAAUAUUGGACAAUGGGCGAAAGCCUGAUCCAGCAAUGCCGCGUGAGUGAUGAAGGCCUUAGGGUUGUAAAGCUCUUUUACCCGGGAUGAUAAUGACAGUACCGGGAGAAUAAGCUCCGGCUAACUCCGUGCCAGCCGCCGCCGUAA
This 449-nucleotide ribosomal RNA is filed under the name uncultured bacterium. Its description in RNAcentral is "partial 16S ribosomal RNA". It matches the Rfam family "Bacterial small subunit ribosomal RNA", at positions 29 to 523 of the family's 1533-position model. The record is from RNAcentral.